UCGGGAAUUUUGGGCAAUGGGCGAAAGCCUGACCCAGCAACGCCGCGUGAGGGAUGAAGUAUUUCGGUAUGUAAACCUCGAAAGAAUGGGAAGAAUAAAUGACGGUACCAUUUAUAAGCUCCGGCUAACUACGUGCCAGCAGCCGCGGUAAUACGUAGGGAGCAAGCGUUGUUCGGAUUUACUGGGCGUAAAGGGCGCGUAGGCGGCGCGGUAAGUCACUUGUGAAAUCUCUGAGCUUAACUCAGAACGGCCAUGUGAUACUGCUGUGCUAGAGUGCGGAAGAGGCAACCGGAAUUCUUGGUGUAGCGGUGAAAUGCGUAGAUAUCAAGAGGAACACCUGAGGCGAAGGCGGGUUGCUGGGCCGACACUGACGCUGAUGCGCGAAAGCCAGGGGAGCAAAC
RNAcentral lists this ribosomal RNA (401 nucleotides) under uncultured bacterium. Its description in RNAcentral is "bacterial SSU rRNA". It matches the Rfam family "Bacterial small subunit ribosomal RNA", at positions 355 to 773 of the family's 1533-position model. The record is from RNAcentral.